This 208-nucleotide ribosomal RNA is filed under the name uncultured bacterium. RNAcentral describes it as "partial 16S ribosomal RNA". It matches the Rfam family "Bacterial small subunit ribosomal RNA", at positions 524 to 731 of the family's 1533-position model. The record is from RNAcentral.
UACAGAGGUCUCAAGCGUUGUUCGGAUUCAUUGGCGUAAAGGGUGCGUAGGCGGCGCGGUAAGUCGGGUGUGAAAUCUCGGAGCUCAACUCCAGAACUGCCUCGAUACUGAGAGUCUUGAGUCCGGGAGAGGUGAGUGGAACUGCGAGUGUAAGAGGUGAAUUCGUAGAUAAUUCGCAAGAACACCAGUGGCGAAAGGCGGCUCACUG